UGCCAGCAGCCGCGGUAAUACGGAGGGUGCAAGCGUUACUCGGAAUCACUGGGCGUAAAGAGCGUGUAGGCGGGUUAAUAAGUCAGAUGUGAAAGCCUAUGGCUCAACCAUAGAACUGCAUUUGAAACUGUUAACCUAGAAUAUGGGAGAGGUAGAUGGAAUUUCUGGUGUAGGGGUAAAAUCCGUAGAGAUCAGAAGGAAUACCGAUUGCGAAGGCGAUCUACUGGAACAUUAUUGACGCUGAGACGCGAAAGCGUGGGGAGCAAACAGGAUUAGAAACCCCCGUAGUCC
This 291-nucleotide ribosomal RNA is filed under the name uncultured bacterium. RNAcentral's name for it is "partial 16S ribosomal RNA". It matches the Rfam family "Bacterial small subunit ribosomal RNA", at positions 506 to 796 of the family's 1533-position model. The record is from RNAcentral.